GCCACCCUAAUUCUAUUUCUCUCACCAGCUCUAGGUGUUUGAAUCUAAUGACCUGCCUAAUUUCCCACAGCAUGUCACAGAUACAUUAUAUUAGUCCAUUGUGGGGAAUUAAAAUGGUGGUCGGCCCUUCUCAGCUGUGAGUGUUUCCCGCCAGAUUUCUGGGUCCUUGACUGCUACACAAGAUGCUGAAUGCUGUGGCCAGCUUUGUUCUGAGAUUGUUGUGCCUAGAGCUAUCUUGACUGGUGCGCCUGCAGUAUCUGUUUCCCAACAACUUCUGGAACACUAGCAGCAACAUUUUGAGAAAAGGGACAAGACCUUUUGAAAACAACAACAACACCUGCUUGCUUCAUCAAACUGAGGCUGAUUUUUAGAAAUGAAUCAUAUGGCUUCUCCAUGGUCCAUUUUAUCCCCGGAACCACCCUGUGGGGGAGAUUAGGCGGAAAGAGAGUGAAUGGCCCAGGGCCAUCCAGUGAGCCUUAUGCCUGAGUAAGGAUCUUUAACCUGCAUCUCAACAGAACAAAGGCAACAGUCUAAACUAGUGGU
RNAcentral lists this long non-coding RNA (543 nucleotides) under Pogona vitticeps (central bearded dragon). RNAcentral's name for it is "lncRNA (ENSPVIG00000019084.1)". Lineage: Eukaryota; Metazoa; Chordata; Lepidosauria; Squamata; Agamidae. The record is from RNAcentral.